RNAcentral lists this unclassified non-coding RNA (901 nucleotides) under Hevea brasiliensis (rubber tree). Lineage: Eukaryota; Viridiplantae; Streptophyta; Magnoliopsida; Malpighiales; Euphorbiaceae. The record is from RNAcentral.
AAAAUUCUAAAGUGAUGUCAUAACUGCAAGACAAUUCAAUAGUCAUUCAUUUCAAGCAUUUAAACGCAAUUUCAGUUAUACAAAUUUAUUAAUGGGCUUCUCCUAAUCUGAAUUCAUAGGACUGAAAAUGAGAUUGUUUAUAAAUAGAAACCUACAUGAAGAAAGAAAAAUGGUUCUUUUGUAAUCUUUUGUAACUUCUCUUGAGAAUUUGGAAAAACAUCAUUUUAAUCUCAAGUUUGGGAAAUAUGAACAAAAACAAUCUCAGAUAAGUAAACCAACUUCUCAUUACAAAGCACACCCAGGAAAAGCAGGGAAAAAGUAAAGGGAUAAUAAUUUACACCAUUGCUUAAAAUGUCCAUUUUCAUUUGGUGAAACUUGCACCUAACACAACACAAGUGAGCUAAAUAUACAAGCUAGACAUUACACUUGGCUCAAAAGUUUGAAGUCAUUGACAAUGAGUUAAUAAUGUGGCAUUAAUUUAAGAUAAAUGCUACCAUAAUAAAGUUAAAGGGCAAAUUGCUAUUCACAUCAGAUCAAAAACAACAAACUUAAGAAUGGCAACCAAUUGAUAAGCACCUAAAAUUUUACCAGAUGCUUGUUUUGUGGCACCAAAUUAACUGCACUUAUCUGAUAAGGGGAUAUUGAGGCAAAGUACAAGCAACUACUAACAAACAUUGUAAGGCUUUGUAUACAUAUGCAAAGCAUUCCUUUCCCAACCUUCUUUCCUCUUUCAAUCCAUGAUGUUUAAAUGAAGUCAAAAAACAGAUUAAGAUUUAAGACUACAUAAGAUGAUGAAACAAAACCAGUUCAUACAAAUCUAUAGCACUUGAUGUUGCAACAUGUUGAGACAAACUUCCAUCAGAAAAGCUUAACUCACCGUAUGUCUUCACCCUUAGUAACA